This 468-nucleotide ribosomal RNA is filed under the name uncultured bacterium. RNAcentral describes it as "partial 16S ribosomal RNA". It matches the Rfam family "Bacterial small subunit ribosomal RNA", at positions 28 to 507 of the family's 1533-position model. The record is from RNAcentral.
GACGAACGCUGGCGGCGUGCUUAACACAUGCAAGUCGAACGGAAAGGCCCUGCUUUUGUGGGGUGCUAGAGUGGCGAACGGGUGAGUAACACGUGAGUAACCUGCCCUUGACUUUGGUAUAACUUCAGGAAACUGGGGCUAAUACCGGAUAGGUGCUCCUGCUGCAUGGUGGGGGUUGGAAAGUUUCGGCGGUUGGGGAUGGACUCGCGGCUUAUCAGCUUGUUGGUGGGGUAGUGGCUUACCAAGGCUUUGACGGGUAGCCGGCCUGAGAGGGUGACCGGCCACAUUGGGACUGGGAUACGGCCAAGACUCCUACGGGAGGAAGCAGUGGGGAAUAUUGCACAAUGGGCGGAAGCCUGUUGCAGCAACGCCGCGUGCGGGAUAACGGCCUUCGGGUUGUAACCCGUUUUCGCCUGUGACGAAGCGUGAGUGACGGUAAUGGGUAAAGAAGCACCGGCUAACUACGUG